This 3519-nucleotide small RNA is filed under the name Pongo abelii (Sumatran orangutan). RNAcentral describes it as "sense intronic". Lineage: Eukaryota; Metazoa; Chordata; Mammalia; Primates; Hominidae. The record is from RNAcentral.
UAUAUAUAUACGUGUGCAUAUAUAUGUAUAUAUGUAUGUGUGCAUAUAUGCCCACACCCUCUUCUCAGUGCCCCUAAGUCCUGUUUACUCUUCACUCCUCUCCGUUAAGCUUUUUUUUUUUUUUUUUUUUUUUUUCUGAGACAGAGUGUUGCUCUGUCACCCAAGCGGGAGUGCAGUGGUGCAAUCUCGGUUCACUGCAACCUCCGCCUCCCAAGUUCAAGCAAUUCUCUGCCUCAGCCUCCUGAGUAGCUGGGAUUGUUACAGGCCCCUGCCACCAUGCCCAGCUAAUUUUUUUGUAUUUUUAGUAGAGAUGGGGUUUCACCAUUUGGCUAGGCUGGUCUUGAACUCCUGACCUCAUGAUCCACCCGCCUCAGCCUCCCAAAGUGCUGGGAUUACAGGCAUGAGCCACUGUGCCCGGCCUUUGUUAAGCUUUUCUUAUCAGAGGUUAACACCAUCUCAGUUUCCUAGAAAACCAUACAUACAUACAUAUAUAGACACAUAUGUACACACACACACACACACACAUAUAUAUAGUUGUUCCUCAGUAUCUGUGGGGAUUGGUUCCAGAGCCCCCAAGGAUACCAAACUCCAAGGAUGCUCAAGCCCUUGUACAAAAUGGUGUCACAUUUGUAUAUAUCCUAGACAUAGCCUCCUGAAUACUUUAUAUCAUCUCUAGAUUGCUUAUAAUACCUAAUACAAUGUAAAUGCUAUGGUAAUAGUUGUUACACUGUAUUUUUUAUUUGUAUUGUUUUUAUUGUUGUAUUGUUAUUUUUAUUGUUUUUUCCCAUAUAAUUUUUGAUCUAGGGAUAUGGAGGGCUAUGUAUUUUUUUCAACUCUAACCUAUCAUGGCAAAUCUUGGAAAUGAAAAACUUUAUUUCCCUUACCGUCUGUAGACCUCCUCCCCCACAGCUCUUUUCUCAUCCUUAAUCCCCCCUCCACCCCCACCUUCUGUCAGUUAGGGAACACGGGCUUUUAUGCAGAUAUACCCAUGUUUCUCAGGCCAAAGUAGGGCCACAAUCAUCAGGACAAAUGGGAGUUUCAGGAUGUUUCUCGGUCACCCAACCCCAGGGAGAGAGAGGGGCCUUCCAGGGGCCUCAGAUUCCCUCCCCAUCCCCCCCUCACAUCUCUAGAAGACUUAAGGGGAGUGCUCAGGUCAGAAUAAUGGGGUAGGUUUGCCCCCUCAUGCCCCACUCCGUCCAGUUCCUCAGCGAUUUUUUUCCUCCAAAAUAGAUCUUGACUGCAUCCAUUGUUCUCCAUCUUUAGUCCUGCCACUCAUCAUCUCUUGCCUGGACCACUCUAACAGGUUCCUGUCUCUCAGCUGCUUUUUCCACGUUUGCCCUCUUCUGAUCCACUCAGAAUAAGGAAGCCAUGGUGAUGUUUCCAAAAAGCAGAUCUGACCAGUGAACACUCAUUUGUAAAAGCCAGUCCACUGGCUCCCCGAUGCCCUCAGGAUAAACCAGAAUCCUGACAUGGCCCACAGCACCAUCCACGACCUGGACUCCACUGGCAUUUCCAGGCUUCCCACUGUACUGUCUGGCCUCCCACCAUAGUGUCUUGCUGAGUCAGCCAGUGCUCAGUGUCACUGAUGCUAUGCCUCACUACCCUUGCCCAAGUCACCCAGAUCAGUGUUGAUCAAAAGAUGCACCUCACUCUCCUAAGUUGCCCUCGAGGAUUUUAGCAAACUGGCUCUUUUCAUUCUAGGGCCACUGCCAGCCCAUCCAAUGCCCUUAUGAUAAUAGAAAAAGCUGCCCCUUCCUCAGGUAGAUACCGCCCAUGUUGGAGGGGACCAUAGGCUGGAUUUCAGCCCUCCCCAUGCUCCUGCCAGGCACCCUUGUGUGUGGCACCACCUGCCCAGCCAAACAUGGCAGCCUCAUGCUGUUCUCACCGUUUGGUUGCAAACCUCUCACUGUGGGUUCUAGCAGGUGUUGGCCAACAAGGGCCGAGCCCAAGGACAGUCCCGGAGCCAAGAAUGGGGCUGUGCUCAGGCCAUCCCAGAUGUUCCCACAGCACAUGGCCAUGGGCACUGUGGAACAUGAUCUUUGGGGGACAAAAUGUCUUUUAAGGUAAAAUGUAAGUGAACGUCACUCUGCCACAGGUUAAGCUACUCUGUGAGGGUUUGUCUUCUAGUUGUGCCACUCUUUUGCUCAAGAAUCUUCUCUGUCUUCCUCAGCCUGGCCACUCACUGGCCCUCAACAGGCCAUGUGUUCCUCCUGUGCUCCCAGUGGCCCAUACCCUCUUCUCAUCCCACUAAGUCCUCUUUACUCUUCACUCCUCUCUGUUAAGCUUUUCCUAGCAGAGGUUGAUGCCAUCUCAGUUUCCUAGAAACCUGUGCCAUUUAACUUCCUUCACAUCUCCCCAUUUCCACAGUCAGGCUGUAGGCGGCAUCCAAAGCUUUAUCUGGGAAAGGGAGUCUCCCCGGGUCUUCUCCCCAUCACUGGCUCCUCUAAGUCUGACAGUCAGUUCCCACAGAAAUAUCACCAAACCCAGCACUCUCAGCAGUCCAAGUCCUUGCUCUCAGAACUUGGGAGAUGUGAUGGGCUUUACCCUCAGACAAGUCUGGAUUUAAAUUCUAGUCCCUCAUGUACCUCAGUGGGGCCUCACUGCUGAGUUACACAAUCACUCUGCCUCUACAGAGAUUCCUCUUUCACCUGAGAAAUGUAUUUCUGCCUCAUCAGCACCUGUAAUGUGGUUCCCCUACCCCGGCCCUAGCCCCUAACUUGUAUUAUUGCCAACAAAAGGAUGAAAGGCCCUCCUUGUCCUUCUGUUUGUGGAGCACUUUCGGGAGCCCUUUGGGGCUGUGUCAUGAGGAAGCUCCCAUGGUCCCUGCUGUAUUUGGCAGUUCAAUUCAGCAUCCAUGCUCUGCAGCUGAUGUCGUGCCUUCAUGUGGAAGAAUUUCUGGAGAAAGUAUGGAGGAUUGACAUACUUUAACAGGGUUUCCCCCCGCAUAUUUUGGUGUCUGAAGAAGCUAGUAUCAGGAAAUACUGUGUCCUGACCAAUUCAUAUUUUUUUUUCCAUGUUAGUAUAAAUAAAUUGGAUAAACCAAACAAAAUGUCAUGUCAUGUUGGAAUGUUUACUUUCAGUUUCCUAGACGAUUUCCUAUGAGAAUAGCAAAGCCUGGAGUGUGUUCAGGAUGUUCUAUACAUAGAUAAUUUGCCCAGGAAUGCUGUAUUUUCACUUCUGUAAGAAUGGUAUUGUGGACAGAGGGAGAAAAGCAUGGGACUAAAAUGUAUGAAAAUUAGGCCAGGCAUUGUGGCUCGUGCCUGUAAUCCCAGCACUUUGGGACGCCGAGGUGGGUGGAUCACUUGAGGUCAGGAGUUCAAGACCAGUCUGGCCAACAUGGUGAAAACCUGUCUCUACUAAAAAUACAAAAAUUAGCCAGGUAUGGUGGUGGGCGCCUGUAAUCCCAGCUACUUGGGAGGAUGAGGCAGGAGAAUCGCUUGAACCUGGGAGGCGGAGGUUGCAGGGAGCUGAGAUCAUGCCACUGCACUCCAGGCUGGGAGACAAAGAGAGACUCUGUCU